GUGAGUCAUCGAAUCUUUGAACGCACCUUGCGCUCCUUGGUAUUCCGAGGAGCAUGCCUGUUUGAGUGUCUUGAAGUCAUCAACCCCUUCUGGUUUUUGUGCCGGAGGUGGGUUGGACUUGGGGGCCUGCUGCCGUGAGGUGGCUCCCCUCAAAUGCAUCGGUUGGACCUGCGGGUCGGACUCGGCCAGGCGUUGUACCAUCCUCGCUUGUAAACGAGAUGUUCCCCUCUAGGUGUCCUCCCACGACCUUGCCUGUGGAGCGGCGGUCAAUGCACCAUUCGAAAUCUGACCUCAAAUCAGGUAGGACUACCCGCUGAACUUAAGCAUAUCAAUAAGCGGAGGA
Molecule: unclassified non-coding RNA, 343 nt
Filed under: Trechispora sp.
Lineage: Eukaryota; Fungi; Basidiomycota; Agaricomycetes; Trechisporales; Hydnodontaceae
Description: partial contains 5.8S ribosomal RNA, internal transcribed spacer 2, and large subunit ribosomal RNA
Rfam family: 5.8S ribosomal RNA (bases 1-71)
Source: RNAcentral